This 24-nucleotide non-coding RNA is filed under the name Cricetulus griseus (Chinese hamster). Lineage: Eukaryota; Metazoa; Chordata; Mammalia; Rodentia; Cricetidae. The record is from RNAcentral.
GUAAGAUACAGGGUUAGAAAAAGA